AUUGACGACAACGACUACGAAGUGAAGAUGCGCUCCCUGCGCCGCUUCAUCGAAGAAGGCAACAAGGUCAAGGUCACUCUGCGCUUCCGUGGUCGCGAACUUGCGCACCAGGAGUUGGGCAUGGAUGUGCUCAACCGUGUGCGUGAAGAUUUCGCUGAUAUUACCAAGGUCGAGCAGUUCCCCAAGAUGGAGGGACGUCAGAUGACCAUGGUGAUGUCUCCGAAAUAAACUGCCGGAACCAUCUGGUUCCGUUAGGACUUGCGAUGGCGGUGAUGUCCCCGGUCCCGGGGGUGGAUCCGUGUCUUCGGCGGGCCGGGAGUUUUCCGGCCC
This 330-nucleotide unclassified non-coding RNA is filed under the name Insolitispirillum peregrinum. RNAcentral describes it as "Long range pseudoknot". The record is from RNAcentral. Lineage: Bacteria; Pseudomonadati; Pseudomonadota; Alphaproteobacteria; Rhodospirillales; Novispirillaceae.